GUAAUUUUGUUCUUGUCUUCUUUACAAGAGAAGAGACAAAUGU
This 43-nucleotide small RNA is filed under the name Arabidopsis thaliana (thale cress). Its description in RNAcentral is "ATSL177460". The record is from RNAcentral. Lineage: Eukaryota; Viridiplantae; Streptophyta; Magnoliopsida; Brassicales; Brassicaceae.